Molecule: long non-coding RNA, 333 nt
Filed under: Prunus persica (peach)
Lineage: Eukaryota; Viridiplantae; Streptophyta; Magnoliopsida; Rosales; Rosaceae
Description: long non-coding RNA (PPER_LNC006189)
Source: RNAcentral
CACAACAUUAUGAUGUUCCCCAAGUUUUGGACUCAAUCCGAUAUCGAUUGGUCCACGAAAUUGGAUAAUUCCGUUUCGUACGAAGUUUGUUCCUAAAUGGAGUGGUUGGUGUAUCGCAUAGGUCUAGAUGUGGGAUUUCACUCAAAACCCACCAAAGGACUCCUCCCACCGUAUUAUGAUGUUCCCUAAGCUUCGACCUCAAUACGAUAUCGAUUGGUCCAUGAAAUUGGACUAUUCAGGUUCGUACGAAUUUCGUUCUGAAAUGGAGUGGUUGGUGUAUUGCAUUGUUCUAGAGAUUGGAUUUCACUCAAAACCCACCACAUGACUCCUCCC